CAUGAAGAUCCUGGUUAUAUUUUUCCACAGCUUUCUUGAACUUUCUUUUUCAUUUCCCUUAUUUUAGAGCCAAAAUAACUAAAAAUCUCUAACAUUUAACACUCUAGAAAAAAAAAAGCUCAAGAAAGCUGUGGGAAAACAUGACAAUUCAGGGUUUUCUUC
This 162-nucleotide microRNA precursor is filed under the name Brassica rapa (field mustard). RNAcentral's name for it is "miR396 stem-loop (bra-MIR396)". Its record names the gene bra-MIR396. The stretch from base 13 to 147 matches the Rfam family "MIR396 microRNA precursor family". Lineage: Eukaryota; Viridiplantae; Streptophyta; Magnoliopsida; Brassicales; Brassicaceae. The record is from miRBase by way of RNAcentral.